RNAcentral lists this ribosomal RNA (3300 nucleotides) under Triticum aestivum (bread wheat). RNAcentral's name for it is "partial small subunit ribosomal RNA". The record is from RNAcentral. Lineage: Eukaryota; Viridiplantae; Streptophyta; Magnoliopsida; Poales; Poaceae.
AUGACGGACCUCAAGACCGCCGCCUAUCAUGCCGACGACGUUCUCGACGACUUCCGCUACGAGGCGUUGCGACUCCGUGCUGCACAGAUGCGCCCCUACUCCACGGCACGCAAGAUGCUGAGCUACUUCACCACCAGCAGCCCGAUUGUUUUUCGUCUCUCCAUGAGCAGGAAGAUGAAAGAUGCCCUUGAAAUGAUAGACGAACUGGUUGUGGAGAUGAAUAACUUUCACUUCCUACAACAUGCCGGGGCACCAACCAUUGUUCAGCCGCAAACACACUCACAUGUCAAUGAAUUACAAAUCGUCGGCAGACAAGAUGAAAAGGAACAAGUGGUGAAGAUAUUGCUCAACCAGUCUGAUAAUAGCAACAUUGGUAAUAGUGGCAUCAUGGUGCUCCCCAUAGUUGGCAUGGGGGGAAUUGGCAAAACUACCCUUGCCCAACUUGUUCACAAUGAUCAAAGGGUGAAGGACCAUUUUGAGUUGGUCUUGUGGGUAUGUGUCUCUGACAAGUUCAUUAUUGAAGAAAUCAUCCGGUCCAUAAUAGAAGUGGCCACCAUGAAGAAGUGUGGUUUGACUCAGAUGGAGGCACUGCAGAAGGAACUCAGUAAAGUUUUGGCCAAGAAAAGGUACCUCCUAGUAUUGGAUGAUGUUUGGAAUGAAGAUCGACGGAAGUGGGAUGACAUGAGAUCAUUGUUGUGCGCACAUUCUAGAUCGGGUAGUGCUGUAAUUGUGACAAGCCGCAAUGAUCAAGUUGCUUCUAUGAUGGGCACACUUCCACCACAUCAGAUGUCACUUCUAAAUGAAGAUCAAUCAUGGGAGCUUUUUCACAAAAAUGCAUUUGGUAGAGAAGUGGAAAAACCAGAGGAAUUCAACUCAAUAGCUAAGAGUAUUUUACACAAGUGUAAGGGGUUGCCUCUUGCUAUCAACACAGUGGCAACUUUACUUCAUUCAAAGCAUCACAGUCAGUGGGUUUCUAUUUUGAACAGUGAUGUUUGGAAGAAUGACGUCCUGGCAACUGGGAUUGUACCUGCUCUACAGCUGAGCUAUGAUCACUUGUCAUCAGAAGCAAAAUUAUGUUUUUCAUUCUGUGCUAUUUUCCCCAAGGAUAGCCCGAUGGAUACAAACAUGUUAAUCCAGCUUUGGAUGGCAAAUGACUUUACUGCAUCAGAAACAAUAGGCCAACAAAUUUUCAAUAUGCUAGUCCAAAGAUGUUUCCUCCAAGAUGUGGAGAUUCAAAAGAAUCGUCUCUCUCAGUUUCGACAUGGGUUCAUCCACCGACCAACUACUUGCAAGAUGCAUGAUCUCAUGCAUGAUCUUGCUGACUCUGUAAGCGGAAAUGGUUGCUUCCACUUGCAAUCAUUUUCAUCACGUCGACGAAUUUUGGAAGGAUCCAUAGACGCUGGUUCAUUACAGCAUCAGGUUCGACAUUUGUCACUUGAUUAUGACUAUUUUAAUGUUAAAGUCAUGAUGAAAAUUCUAGCUCCCGGAGCCCGCACGAUAUUAAGCCAACGCCAAUUGGGCUAUCAACGUCCACUAAGAAAGUCCAAGUCAGAAUUAAUGUCCUUACGAGCAGUGAAGACGUUCCCAAGCAUAACACAAAUGACAAAUUUGAAGCAUCUUCGCUAUUUAGACUGUUCUUAUUCUGAUAUAUCUGCAUUGCCUGAAGCCACCACCAUGUUGUAUUGCUUGCAAACAUUGAAGCUCAUUGGUUGUAGAGAACUCAAGAAAUUACCAGAAGGGAUGAGAUAUAUGAGCAGUCUUCGACACAUCUUCCUUGUUGGGUGUCAUAGUUUGGAGCAGAUGCCGCAAGGUAUUAGUCAGUUGAAUUCCCGACAAACGUUGACGAGUUAUGUCAUUGAUAGUGAUACAGGUCGUGGAAUUGAUCAACUGAAAGAUUUAAAUCUAUGUGGUGCUCUUUCUUUGACUGAGCUGAGAAAAGUGCAUGGUGCAGAAAAUGCUAAACAAGGCAAUAUGUCUGACAAGCAUAAUUUGAAGCGAUUAUCACUCGAUUGGACAAAUGGACAUUAUGGCUCAUAUUUUGGAUAUGGAGUCGAUAAUAUUGCAGAAGGGAUAUUGGAGGCUCUUCGUCCACACAAAAAGCUUGAAGUUUUACUGUUAUCUAAUUAUACUGGUCCCAAAUUCUCAUCAUGGAUGCACAACUGUACCCAGUUAGAACAUCUUAGUGAACUUUCUCUGACUGGAUGUGAGAACUGCAAGUAUCUUCCACCAUUGUGGCAGCUGCCCUCUCUUGGGUACUUGGCUUUGGAUGGUUUGCAUAGCGUGACAAGUAUAUGUAUUGUUAAUGAUGAGAUGGACAAUGUGGAAUCAUGUAUUUCUCGGCCACCCUUCUUUCCUAAAUUGGAAACCAUGAUAAUUUCCGACAUGCCUGAGCUAGAGAGAUGGCACCAAGAGGUGGCAGGACAAGUGGCAAUUGUAUCAUUGCCGCAGCUCAAGAAGCUAAUUAUUGAUAAUUGCCCAAUGCUAUCAAGCAUGCCCAGGACGCUCCCUUUGGUUGAAGAUCUACAGGUGGUUAGCGCAAGAGACAUUCCCCUUCACCAUCUAAUGAAUCUGUCUAUGCAAUCUAAUCUUGAGUGCAAAGGCUCCAUUGUAGUUGAACCUGUUGGUUGUCUAUCUAUGGACCUUCAUUUCUCAAGGCUUGGUGACUCUGAUGUGUUAGUGAGACUCACAGUUUUGAGGGAAAAUGUAGGGCGCUUUGAAGAGGAGAUGAACAGAACACCUUGCAGAUUUAUUAAGAAGCUGGAUAUAAUAGAUUGUGACUGUCUUUUCUCACAUGAACUGUCCCAAAUACAACGGAAUAUAUGGAACCAUUUUGGUUUUGUUGAAAGUAUGUGGAUUACAGGCAUCAAUAAUAUAAUACAAUGGCCAGCAGUAGAAUUCCCAUCAACAAUAUCUGAUGACGAAAAUGUCCUGCUUCCUCGACUCCAGGUUCUUAAAAUUAUAGGAUGUGAAAAUUUGGUGGAAAUACCAAGGCUGCCUGCAUCUCUUGAAAUAUUGCACAUCAGUUGUUGUCAGAAGCUGGUGUCCAUGCCAAUAAUUCUCGGGAACAUAAAAAAGAUGAGAGAACUCGAAGUGUAUCGGUGCAGUGCACUGGCAACAUUUCUAGAUGGAAUGCAUGGAAUCACUGCACUCAAGAAGCUGCGAAUGGAGUGCUGCCCAACCCUAGAGACACUACCGGAGGGGCUCCUGCAGCAGCUCCCAGCCCUCCAGGAACUAUGUAUUACAGAUUGCCCCAAGUUGGAGGAGGCCUUCUCAGGAGGAGGCACUUACUGGGAUUUGGUU